Long non-coding RNA from Dendrobium catenatum, 1544 nucleotides. RefSeq lists it as uncharacterized. The transcript is spliced from 3 exons. Lineage: Eukaryota; Viridiplantae; Streptophyta; Magnoliopsida; Asparagales; Orchidaceae. The record is from RefSeq and is a predicted model, not a curated record.
AACCCCCCCCCCCCCAAAAAAAAAAAGAAAAAGAAAAAAAAGAAAAUCCUAUUUUAUUUUCAAAUGUUCAGCUCGCUAAUAUGAUUGUUUUUGCUCCCUUCAUUUUGACCCUGCUUCCACGUAACUAAGUAGUGAGGGACACCUAGAGUAGUUAUUAAUAUAUUAGGUAAUGUGAAAAAAUACCUCAAAUUUUGACUGAAUUAAUCCUUUAAUCGGAUUCAAUUCUUGACUUAAUUAUCCAGUUCAAAAUUUGAGUUAGGCCAUUUAGAUUUAGAUGGAUUACUUAUAAAUCGACCCAUUUUGAUUAUGAAUCAACCCAAUUCUCUUAAUGAAGCUAUUAUUUUUUUGCAUUAUUUAUUAGGAUUUUGGAUUUUGUCCGAAAACCCAACUCUAACUUUGAUCUACCUAAGACUCAAUCUCCCAUCUAAUCUUAACCAUAUUCCAUCUCACUCAUUUCAUGUUGUGCAUUAUCUUUUCUUUUCUUUUCAUGGAUUUAGUAGGUAGAACUAUACUUUGUUGAUAUUGAUCUUGAUUUUUGUACGAGUACCCUUGAGGGUCCUCGAUCGAUUUAAUUAAAUUUCAUCGAGUCCAAUUCGAGCUCGAAUCAUCUCGAAUUGAGUCGAAUUAGACUCGACCACAUUUGAUUAGGCUCGAUUAGUUCGCUUAUUCUCGGGUCCGAUUUGAUUUUAAUUUAUUUUGGGUUCGGAUUUAACUUCAUUAAGUUAGCAUAGUCGAGUUACAUUGAACCUGAGCCCGUUCGAUUUGAGUCAAAUUAAGUUCAUUUUGGACUCAAAUUUGACCCAAACUAGCUCAAUUAGUGUUAGAUUUAAUCCAAUUAACUUUCCAAUGAAGUUUGAAUUUUUUUCUAAAUCCGGAAAUUCGAUCAAACCGACCUUUCUUCCCUAGUUCGCAAGCCGGUCCGCAGAAGCAGGGCGACCGAAGCCCACUUUCACUCCCUCCCUCUCUCUGUUCCCUCUCUGCUCUACUUCUCGAGUCGAAUCCGAGCCUUAACCGAAGCCCCUUUGCCGGCUCUUCCUGCCGCAGAGGGAUGGACUCAUCGAAUGAUAAAGGAGGAAGGGGAUGAUUCAACCCAGAGAAAGUAAGACGUAAUCUCUAUGCUGCCGAGAAUCGACGGCUGUAAACAUUGCAACGACAAAUACUUAAAGCUGGAAGUAAGUCGAAGCCGUCGGAUGAGGCGCUGGAAAAUAGGUAGCUCGCAGACGUGUCAGAUCGUGCGGUGGAUAAACUGGUUGCAUCAGCUCCUCAUUAAUCGAUAUAUUCCCUAUCUGAUGCUCGCACUGGAUUCAUCUAAAACUUCUUCAUCUACUAGAUUUGGAAAAGAGUGAUGUUACUAAAAAUCUUUGUAAAAGCAAUGUUGGCGAUGACCAUGAAUAGGAAUAUAAGAUUGGUAUAAAAUUAUUAUAAUAGAUUUGUUAUGUAUAAUUGUAUAUAUAAGCUUCAAGUAGCAAUUUAUUUUUGGAAGUUGAAAAAAUCGUGUAAUUUUAGAUUUAUGAUUUUUUUUUGAAUAAAAAUAUAUUUUGUAA